GUUUCGAAUUUUUCGCAAUGGGCGAAAGCCUGACGGAGCGACGCCGCGUGGGGGAUGAAGGUCUUCGGAUUGUAAACCCCUGUCAGCUGGGAACAACGAUCGAGCGCCAAUACCGCUCGGUUUUGAUAGUACCGGCAGAGGAAGCCGUGGCUAACUCUGUGCCAGCAGCCGCGGUAAUACAGAGACGGCAAGCGUUGUUCGGAUUUAUUGGGCGUAAAGGGUCCGCAGGUGGCGAGGUAAGUCUGACGUGAAAUCCCGCGGCUUAACCGCGGAACUGCGUCGGAAACUACCUUGCUAGAGGACGGCAGAGGAGACUGGAAUUCACGGUGUAGCGGUGAAAUGCGUAGAUAUCGUGAGGAACACCGGUGGCGAAGGCGAGUCUCUGGGCCGUUCCUGACACUCAGGGACAAAAGCGUGGGGAGCAAACGGGAUUAGAAACCCGAGUAGUCC
RNAcentral lists this ribosomal RNA (450 nucleotides) under uncultured bacterium. RNAcentral describes it as "bacterial SSU rRNA". It matches the Rfam family "Bacterial small subunit ribosomal RNA", at positions 354 to 796 of the family's 1533-position model. The record is from RNAcentral.